Molecule: non-coding RNA, 71 nt
Organism: Turdus rufiventris (rufous-bellied thrush)
Lineage: Eukaryota; Metazoa; Chordata; Aves; Passeriformes; Turdidae
Source: the annotation of a GenBank genome assembly
AACAUCAUAGGCAGCUUAGCUGGGUCCUCUGAAGACUUCUGAGAAAAAAGUGCUGAUUCUUGUUGAUAUUA